GCAGACCGCGGCCUCUUUUCUGUUCCUGAAGAGGACAGUGGCUUCAAAGGCGGUGACGGGACGGCUUCCGCCAGUGUGGGGUGUGCAGGUGCUGCCGCCGUGGCUGCAACAGGAGCCCUGGAGCAAAGAGACUCCAAUGAAACAGCAUGCAGGCCAUUCAAGAGAGCUCUGGGACCCCUCAGCUGUCUCUGGAGUGGCUGGCAGCACUGUGAGGCCUCCAUAAACAGAGGUAAGUGAGCUACUAAAGUCGUAUUUCUGAGCAAGUUCUUCCAGGACUGAGGGCAUAGAGAUUGAACUCAGGGCCCUAGAGACUGAACUCAGGGCUUUCACACAG
Molecule: long non-coding RNA, 334 nt
Filed under: Fukomys damarensis (Damara mole-rat)
Lineage: Eukaryota; Metazoa; Chordata; Mammalia; Rodentia; Bathyergidae
Description: lncRNA (ENSFDAG00000028396.1)
Source: RNAcentral